Molecule: ribosomal RNA, 497 nt
Filed under: uncultured bacterium
Lineage: Bacteria
Description: partial 16S ribosomal RNA
Rfam family: Bacterial small subunit ribosomal RNA
Source: RNAcentral
GAUGAACGCUGGCGGCGUGCCUAAUACAUGCAAGUCGAGCGAACAGACGAGGAGCUUGCUCCUCUGACGUUAGCGGCGGACGGGUGAGUAACACGUGGAUAACCUACCUAUAAGACUGGGAUAACUUCGGGAAACCGGAGCUAAUACCGGAUAAUAUCUUGAACCGCAUGGUUCAAUAGUGAAAGACGGUUUUGCUGUCACUUAUAGAUGGAUCCGCGCCGCAUUAGCUAGUUGGUAAGGUAACGGCUUACCAAGGCAACGAGGCGUAGCCGACCUGAGAGGGUGAUCGGCCACACUGGAACUGAGACACGGUCCAGACUCCUACGGGAGGCAGCAGUAGGGAAUCGUCCGCAAUGGGCGAAAGCUUGACGGAGCAACGCCGCGUGAGUGAUGAAGGUCUUCGGAUCGUAAAACUCUGUUAUUAGGGAAGAACAAAUGUGUAAGUAACUAUGCACGUCUUGACGGUACCUAAUCAGAAAGCCACGGCUAACUACGUG